RNAcentral lists this ribosomal RNA (424 nucleotides) under uncultured bacterium. Its description in RNAcentral is "bacterial SSU rRNA". It matches the Rfam family "Bacterial small subunit ribosomal RNA", at positions 358 to 773 of the family's 1533-position model. The record is from RNAcentral.
AGAGGCUUUGUCAAUGGGGGAAACCCUGAACAAGCGACGCCGCGUGGAGGAUGAAGGCCUUUGGGUUGUAAACUCCUUUUGUUGGGGAAGAAAUGCGAUCAGGUGAACAAUCUGGUCGUUUGACGGUACCCGACGAAUAAGCUCCGGCUAACUCCGUGCCCGCAGCCGCGGUAACACGGGGGGAGCAAGCGUUGUUCGGAAUCCCUGGGCGUAAAGGGCGUGUAGGCGGUUGGGUAAGUGGGAUGUGAAAUGCCUCGGCUCACCCGAGGAUCGGCAUCCCAAACUGCCCGACUUGAGUAUGGGAGAGGAUGAGGGAAUUCCUGGUGUAGCGGUGAAAUGCGUAGAUAUCAGGAGGAACACCGGUGGCGAAGGCGCUCAUCUGGCCCAAUACUGACGCUGAGGCGCGAAAGCUAGGGGAGCAAAC